RNAcentral lists this ribosomal RNA (467 nucleotides) under uncultured bacterium. RNAcentral's name for it is "partial 16S ribosomal RNA". It matches the Rfam family "Bacterial small subunit ribosomal RNA", at positions 28 to 507 of the family's 1533-position model. The record is from RNAcentral.
GAUGAACGCUGGCGGCGUGCUUAACACAUGCAAGUCGAACGGAAAGGCCUCUGCUUGCAGGGGUACUCGAGUGGCGAACGGGUGAGUAACACGUGGGUGAUCUGCCCUGCACUUCGGGAUAAGCCUGGGAAACUGGGUCUAAUACCGGAUAGGACAAUGGUUUGGAUGCUGUUGUGGAAAGUUUUUCGGUGUGGGAUGAGCUCGCGGCCUAUCAGCUUGUUGGUGGGGUAAUGGCCUACCAAGGCGUCGACGGGUAGCCGGCCUGAGAGGGUGUACGGCCACAUUGGGACUGAGAUACGGCCCAGACUCCUACGGGAGGCAGCAAUGGGGAAUAUUGCACAAUGGGCGCAAGCCUGAUGCAGCGACGCCGCGUGGGGGAUGACGGCCUUCGGGUUGUAAACUCCUUUCGCUAGGGACGAAGCGUUUUUGUGACGGUACCUGGAGAAGAAGCACCGGCUAACUACGUG